GAUGAACGCUGGCGGCGUGCUUAACACAUGCAAGUCGAAUGGGAAACCUUUUAUUGAAGCUUCGGCAGAUUUAGCUGGUUUCUAGUGGCGGACGGGUGAGUAACGCGUGGGUGACCUGCCUUAUACAGGGGGAUAACAGUCAGAAAUGGCUGCUAAUACCGCAUAAGCGCACAGAGCUGCAUGGCUCAGUGUGAAAAACUCCGGUGGUAUAAGAUGGACCCGCGUUGGAUUAGCUGGUUGGUGGGGUAACGGCCCACCAAGGCGACGAUCCAUAGCCGGCCUGAGAGGGUGAACGGCCACAUUGGGACUGAGACACGGCCCAGACUCCUACGGGAGGCAGCAGUGGGGAAUAUUGCACAAUGGGGGAAACCCUGAUGCAGCGACGCCGCGUGAAGGAAGAAGUAUCUCGGUAUGUAAACUUCUAUCAGCAGGGAAGAUAAUGACGGUACCUGACUAAGAAGCCCCGGCUAACUACGUG
Molecule: ribosomal RNA, 478 nt
Filed under: uncultured bacterium
Lineage: Bacteria
Description: partial 16S ribosomal RNA
Rfam family: Bacterial small subunit ribosomal RNA
Source: RNAcentral